CCUACGGGGAGCAUCAGUGAGGAAUAUUGGUCAAUGGUCGGGAGACUGAACCAGCCAAGCCGCGUGAGGGAUGAAGGUACAGAGUAUCGUAAACCUCUUUUGUCAGGGAACAAAGGCGGGGACGUGUCCCCGGAUGAGUGUACCUGAAGAAAAAGCAUCGGCUAACUCCGUGCCAGCAGCCGCGGUAAUACGGAGGAUGCGAGCGUUAUCCGGAUUUAUUGGGUUUAAAGGGUGCGCAGGCGGUCUGUUAAGUAAGCGGUAAAAGCCCGGGGCUCAACCCCGGCCCGCCGUUGAAACUGGCAGUCUCGAGUUGGAGAGAAGUAUGCGGAAUGCGCGGUGUAGCGGUGAAAUGCAUAGAUAUCGCGCAGAACUCCGAUUGCGAAGGCAGCAUGCCGGCUCCACACUGACGCUGAGGCACGAAAGCGUGGGUAUCGAACAGGAUUAGAUACCCCAGUAGUC
RNAcentral lists this ribosomal RNA (459 nucleotides) under uncultured bacterium. RNAcentral describes it as "partial 16S ribosomal RNA". It matches the Rfam family "Bacterial small subunit ribosomal RNA", at positions 338 to 795 of the family's 1533-position model. The record is from RNAcentral.